UAGGGAAUAUUGGGCAAUGGAGGCAACUCUGACCCAGCCAUGCCGCGUGAAGGAUGACGGCGCUCAGCGUUGUAAACUUCUUUUAUCAGGGAAGAACUAUGGGGGUGCGCCCUUAUUUGACGGUACCUGAGGAAUAAGCACCGGCUAACUCCGUGCCAGCAGCCGCGGUAAUACGGAGGGUGCAAGCGUUGUCCGGAUUUAUUGGGUUUAAAGGGUGCGCAGGUGGUUCUGUAAGUCUGAUUUGAAAGCUAGCGGCUCAACCGUUAGAUGUGGUUGGAAACUGUGGAACUUGAAUGGCGUAGCGGGAGCCGGAAUGGGUCAUGUAGCGGUGAAAUGCAUAGAUAUGACCCGGAACACCGAUUGCGAAGGCAGGCUCCUUGGCGUUGAUUGACACUGAGGCACGAGAGCAUGGGUAGCGAACA
This 422-nucleotide ribosomal RNA is filed under the name uncultured Bacteroidota bacterium. Its description in RNAcentral is "bacterial SSU rRNA". It matches the Rfam family "Bacterial small subunit ribosomal RNA", at positions 355 to 774 of the family's 1533-position model. The record is from RNAcentral. Lineage: Bacteria; Pseudomonadati; Bacteroidota.